Molecule: long non-coding RNA, 2306 nt
Organism: Taeniopygia guttata (zebra finch)
Lineage: Eukaryota; Metazoa; Chordata; Aves; Passeriformes; Estrildidae
Source: Ensembl
UUUUUUUUUUUUUUUCUCUUUCUGUCACCAUACCUGCAAUUUUCAGUGACUUCUGUGAACACUGACACUUGGUGUUACCUCAUGUCUCUUGUAUCCCUGAUGAUGCAUAUCUGCAUUCUUAGUACACUGUAAACUAGGAAAAAUGCCCAGGUGUUUUGUUUUAUCCCUUUCCAAAUUUGCAAAUACAGAUGUACUCCUAUUGCAAUAGUACUUCAUAAUGUAAAUAUUUUCUAUGCAUAUAUUGCAUAUAGUACCUUUUGUUUAAAGAAAAAAAAAAACUGCUGUUGUUUUUUUACACAGUUAAUCCUUCCUGAAUUAGAUUUGAACAUGUGAAAAAAAAAAAAAAAAAAGAAUUAAUAAAUCUUUUUUUCGCUAAGGGUUAUUUUCUGGCAUUAAAAUAAGGAGACACCUUCUCCCAGCAGAAUUGGGGAACAGAUAGUUCUAAACCCUCAGCAAUCAUAUUUCUUUGUUGAAGUAUUUAUUUUAAAAUUCAAUAUAGUUAGCAAAUUAAGUCUGUAAUCAGGACUGGACAACACCCUGGAACAGAAGUAAAAGUGAACAAAUUGACUGAGGUUGGGAUUGUCUUUCUGAUUGCAUAAUAGUGAAUGUGUGUCAGCAGGAGGGACAGAGAGAAGAGCAGGGAGAUCAGAAGCUCUUGGGAAGGUGUUACUGUGUGAGUGUGCUGGCAGUUUCAGGGACUGCAUUGCUUUGAGCGUGUGGCCAAGUGGGGCUAAUUCCAGUGGUUAAAGCACAGCUGCGUAAACCAGCUGAGACUCAGAGAUAAAAUUAGGUUUCAGAUACAUUUUUAAAGAGGUGUUACCAAUACCUAAUUUUGCUGGCAGAUAGAGAUUUCUUGGACUGGAGAGCAGACAGUAAGGCUAGAGGGCCAGGGCUGAAGUGCUCUUAUUCAGGGUGUCAAGAACCAUGUGCCAGGAUCAGACCUGGGGCACUUAGGGUCUCAUGGUCAUCACUUUGUAAGCUCUAGGACAGAGAAGUAAUUUAGACUUUGUGUUCUUAGACUGGCUGGUGGCAAUCGGUUUCAAAGGGGACUUGCACCAAGUGCAAGUGAUGAUUUAUAAGAAAUUUGAAAGAUUUGAUGCAGUCUUCUCAAGCCUUAUAAAAACCCUGAAAAUUCUUACCAAAAUCAUAAUUUCAAUGGAAAUUGAAAACCAUAACAUCAAGUUUUAUUCUAUGUACAUUUAUGAAUCCUCAUACUUAAAACAUCAACCUCUUCUUUAAUCUGAAAUAUAAAAUAUCCAAUCUCAAAAGAUUUGAAAUAUCAACUCUUGGAAGUUUUAACACAGGAAUUGCAAAAAUGUAUGUACCAGAUUAUUUUCUAUACUUUUUGAUAUAUAAUAUUUUCAUUUUUUCUAAAAAUACAGUUAUUUCUUAAAAAUUAUUUAUUGAGACUGUCUCGUGCUUAGAAAGCCUGCGGCAUCAGCUUUGAGGGUUCUUAACUUUUUAACUAAUACUAAUGAUAUAAGUUGUAACAAAAGCAAGUCAUGGCACAGUACAGCAGGGAUUUAGAAAUUCUAUGCACUGUUCAUGAAGUGCUUUUUGUCUCUCAGAUUCUGUGACUAUCAAUUCUGCAGAAGCAAUCUAAAGUCUUCUUAAAUUGUUACUCCAGGACUUUCUGAGGUGGAACUCAGAGGCGCAUGAAGCAGCUUAGGACUUCAGUGUUGUGAAAGUUUAAAGAUGGACCUAACUGGCUGCACUAAUGCACUAAAGGCAAGGACAGAAGCAUCUUACAUUUAGAGGCUUGCUUCGAUGAUUGCAUCUUCAUUAGGAAGAAGUUUUGGGCAGAAAUUGAAUGUUGUGUAAAAUUUUUUCCUCCACCAGCACCAUGGGAAAACCUCAUUACCAUGCCCCACGUAGUGUAGAGAUAUUUGAGAUAAAUAAGCAGGUUUCAGACUUCAGUAGUCUUACAGUGUUAUCUACAUUUAUUUUAUAAGGGGAAGUCUUUCUCCAGUUUAAGAAUCAGUUUUGUCACCAUUUUAGAUUAAACUGGGUGCAGGCUGCUGCUCUAUACGUGAAGAUUUUUUUGUUUCCCUGUAGGUGUUUGUUGACUCACAUUGAAGUUUAUGUUUCAGAAAGAUUGUUGCCUGGAGUGCUUUCACCUCAAUUUGGAGGCUAAUUUUCACCUUAAUCUGUAUCUUGAUCUCAUUGAAUGUGAGCAUCCAAAUGCCUGUAGGAAUGUGCAGCUGAGAGAGGAUGGGGCUCCUUCCUUUCAGCAGCUGCCUGAGUUCAGGAGUGUGUCAGGUUCCAUAGAGAUGUCCCCUGACAACAUGUAGAAUUGUCCUCUGGGA